GAUAAAAAGGGGCGAAAGGUGUUUCCUGAGGGAGGAGAACCUGGGUAUCUCCUCCAGCCCAGGACUCUUUGUUGCUGUAUUCGCCUCAUGUUUCUGCAAGAGUUUUUUUUAUAGGAAGAAACCACUCACCCGUGGGCUUUCCCACCUAACCAAGGCAGGACAGCACCCACUGUGAGCCCGCGGCCCCGCUCCCUCCACGGAGGAGGCGGCUGUCUGGCAGAGGAAAGCCCCCCUCCGGCCCUGCCCACCGUCUUCGUGAGGAAAAACAUGUGUGUUAACGCCUGCUUGUGGCAAGCUGCAUCUCCCCACACAAUUUAGUGCUAUGACGAAGUCUCAUUCAGUACUGAUGUGAUUACAACACAAGCUUCAGGUAACAGAAAAAAUAAACACACAUCACAUAAGUAUUGCCAACUUCAACUUUAAUAAUGGAACCAUCUUUUUUUUUUUUUUGCCAUUUCAGUAAUAACUUUAAGGGGAAUAAAAACUUCCCUACAAAAAUAAAACUAAGCUUGUCAAAAUUAUAAA
This is a non-coding RNA of Phalacrocorax carbo (great cormorant), 525 nucleotides long. Lineage: Eukaryota; Metazoa; Chordata; Aves; Suliformes; Phalacrocoracidae. The record is from RefSeq and is a predicted model, not a curated record.